UUACCCCUGCAAUGUGCGUGAUUGUAUGACAGCCUUUGUCCUAACGCAUAAGCAAAAGGGAGUCCACACUUGUACCGGUGUGCUAUGUUCCUCUUGUAAGGAAAAGCCUGAAGGUAUAACUGGACGACCACCUUCUGAACCCAUGGUUCAAAGCCUUUAUAGCAACACGGCAGUUUGUGGGGGUAAC
Non-coding RNA from Deltaproteobacteria bacterium, 187 nucleotides. The record is from Rfam. NCBI's taxonomy places the organism in Bacteria, Pseudomonadati, Myxococcota, Myxococcia.